AGCCGUGUGCCCGAGUGGUUGAGGGACUCGCCUGCACAGUGCCUAACAGCGGGCUCCGCCCGCGGGGAGUUACGCCGGUUCGAUUCCGGUCACGGCUU
Molecule: transfer RNA, 98 nt
Filed under: Streptomyces sp. ISL-94
Lineage: Bacteria; Bacillati; Actinomycetota; Actinomycetes; Kitasatosporales; Streptomycetaceae
Also listed under: 1 other name
Description: tRNA-OTHER
Rfam family: tRNA
About the family: Transfer RNA (tRNA) molecules are approximately 80 nucleotides in length. Their secondary structure includes four short double-helical elements and three loops (D, anti-codon, and T loops).
Source: RNAcentral